AUCUAUCUGACGAGUCCUAAAUAGAACGAUACGCGCAUCCUGGGU
RNAcentral lists this non-coding RNA (45 nucleotides) under Schistosoma curassoni. The record is from RNAcentral. Lineage: Eukaryota; Metazoa; Platyhelminthes; Trematoda; Strigeidida; Schistosomatidae.